RNAcentral lists this ribosomal RNA (474 nucleotides) under uncultured bacterium. RNAcentral's name for it is "bacterial SSU rRNA". It matches the Rfam family "Bacterial small subunit ribosomal RNA", at positions 33 to 507 of the family's 1533-position model. The record is from RNAcentral.
GACGACGCUGGCGGCGUGCCUAACACAUGCAAGUCGAGCGGGGUUGAAGCGAGGGGUAACUCGAGUUUCUACCUAGCGGCGGACGGGUGAGUAACGCGUGGGCAACCUGCCUCAAGGACUGGGAUAACAGCUCGAAAGGGCUGCUAAUACCGGAUAUGCCUGUGGCCUCGCAUGGGGCUAUGAGCAAAGGGGAAACCCGCCUUGAGAUGGGCCCGCGUCCCAUCAGCUAGUUGGUGAGGUGAAGGCUCACCAAGGCGACGACGGGUAGCCGGCCUGAGAGGGUGACCGGCCACACUGGGACUGAGACACGGCCCAGACUCCUACGGGGGGCAGCAGUGGGGAAUCUUGCACAAUGGGCGAAAGCCUGAUGCAGCGACGCCGCGUGAGCGAAGAAGGCCUUCGGGUUGUAAAGCUCUGUCUGGAGGGACGAAGGAAGUGACGGUACCUCCGGAGGAAGCCACGGCUAACUACGUG